GCCCUGGCAGUCAGAGGCGAUGAAGGACGUGCUAAUCUGCGAUAAGCGUCGGUAAGGUGAUAUGAACCGUUAUAACCGGCGAUUUCCGAAUGGGGAAACCCAGUGUGAUUCGUCACACUAUCAUUAACUGAAUCCAUAGGUUAAUGAGGCGAACCGGGGGAACUGAAACAUCUAAGUACCCCGAGGAAAAGAAAUCAACCGAGAUUCCCCCAGUAGCGGCGAGCGAACGGGGAGGAGCCCAGAGCCUGAAUCAGUGUGUGUGUUAGUGGAAGCGUCUGGAAAGGCGCGCGAUACAGGGUGACAGCCCCGUACACAAAAAUGCACAUGCUGUGAGCUCGAUGAGUAGGGCGGGACACGUGGUAUCCUGUCUGAAUAUGGGGGGACCAUCCUCCAAGGCUAAAUACUCCUGACUGACCGAUAGUGAACCAGUACCGUGAGGGAAAGGCGAAAAGAACCCCGGCGAGGGGAGUGAAAAAGAACCUGAAACCGUGUACGUACAAGCAGUGGGAGCACAGAGCAAUCUGUGUGACUGCGUACCUUUUGUAUAAUGGGUCAGCGACUUAUAUUCUGUAGCAAGGUUAACCGAAUAGGGGAGCCGAAGGGAAACCGAGUCUUAACUGGGCGUUAAGUUGCAGGGUAUAGACCCGAAACCCGGUGAUCUAGCCAUGGGCAGGUUGAAGGUUGGGUAACACUAACUGGAGGACCGAACCGACUAAUGUUGAAAAAUUAGCGGAUGACUUGUGGCUGGGGGUGAAAGGCCAAUCAAACCGGGAGAUAGCUGGUUCUCCCCGAAAGCUAUUUAGGUAGCGCCUCGUGAAUUCAUCUCCGGGGGUAGAGCACUGUUUCGGCAAGGGGGUCAUCCCGACUUACCAACCCGAUGCAAACUGCGAAUACCGGAGAAUGUUAUCACGGGAGACACACGGCGGGUGCUAACGUCCGUCGUGAAGAGGGAAACAACCCAGACCGCCAGCUAAGGUCCCAAAGUCAUGGUUAAGUGGGAAACGAUGUGGGAAGGCCCAGACAGCCAGGAUGUUGGCUUAGAAGCAGCCAUCAUUUAAAGAAAGCGUAAUAGCUCACUGGUCGAGUCGGCCUGCGCGGAAGAUGUAACGGGGCUAAACCAUGCACCGAAGCUGCGGCAGCGACACUAUGUGUUGUUGGGUAGGGGAGCGUUCUGUAAGCCUGUGAAGGUGUGCUGUGAGGCAUGCUGGAGGUAUCAGAAGUGCGAAUGCUGACAUAAGUAACGAUAAAGCGGGUGAAAAGCCCGCUCGCCGGAAGACCAAGGGUUCCUGUCCAACGUUAAUCGGGGCAGGGUGAGUCGACCCCUAAGGCGAGGCCGAAAGGCGUAGUCGAUGGGAAACAGGUUAAUAUUCCUGUACUUGGUGUUACUGCGAAGGGGGGACGGAGAAGGCUAUGUUGGCCGGGCGACGGUUGUCCCGGUUUAAGCGUGUAGGCUGGUUUUCCAGGCAAAUCCGGAAAAUCAAGGCUGAGGCGUGAUGACGAGGCACUACGGUGCUGAAGCAACAAAUGCCCUGCUUCCAGGAAAAGCCUCUAAGCAUCAGGUAACAUCAAAUCGUACCCCAAACCGACACAGGUGGUCAGGUAGAGAAUACCAAGGCGCUUGAGAGAACUCGGGUGAAGGAACUAGGCAAAAUGGUGCCGUAACUUCGGGAGAAGGCACGCUGAUAUGUAGGUGAAGCGACUUGCUCGUGGAGCUGAAAUCAGUCGAAGAUACCAGCUGGCUGCAACUGUUUAUUAAAAACACAGCACUGUGCAAACACGAAAGUGGACGUAUACGGUGUGACGCCUGCCCGGUGCCGGAAGGUUAAUUGAUGGGGUCAGCGCAAGCGAAGCUCUUGAUCGAAGCCCCGGUAAACGGCGGCCGUAACUAUAACGGUCCUAAGGUAGCGAAAUUCCUUGUCGGGUAAGUUCCGACCUGCACGAAUGGCGUAAUGAUGGCCAGGCUGUCUCCACCCGAGACUCAGUGAAAUUGAACUCGCUGUGAAGAUGCAGUGUACCCGCGGCAAGACGGAAAGACCCCGUGAACCUUUACUAUAGCUUGACACUGAACAUUGAGCCUUGAUGUGUAGGAUAGGUGGGAGGCUUUGAAGUGUGGACGCCAGUCUGCAUGGAGCCGACCUUGAAAUACCACCCUUUAAUGUUUGAUGUUCUAACGUUGACCCGUAAUCCGGGUUGCGGACAGUGUCUGGUGGGUAGUUUGACUGGGGCGGUCUCCUCCUAAAGAGUAACGGAGGAGCACGAAGGUUGGCUAAUCCUGGUCGGACAUCAGGAGGUUAGUGCAAUGGCAUAAGCCAGCUUGACUGCGAGCGUGACGGCGCGAGCAGGUGCGAAAGCAGGUCAUAGUGAUCCGGUGGUUCUGAAUGGAAGGGCCAUCGCUCAACGGAUAAAAGGUACUCCGGGGAUAACAGGCUGAUACCGCCCAAGAGUUCAUAUCGACGGCGGUGUUUGGCACCUCGAUGUCGGCUCAUCACAUCCUGGGGCUGAAGUAGGUCCCAAGGGUAUGGCUGUUCGCCAUUUAAAGUGGUACGCGAGCUGGGUUUAGAACGUCGUGAGACAGUUCGGUCCCUAUCUGCCGUGGGCGCUGGAGAACUGAGGGGGGCUGCUCCUAGUACGAGAGGACCGGAGUGGACGCAUCACUGGUGU
RNAcentral lists this ribosomal RNA (2661 nucleotides) under Escherichia coli. RNAcentral's name for it is "partial 23S ribosomal RNA". It matches the Rfam family "Bacterial large subunit ribosomal RNA". The record is from RNAcentral. Lineage: Bacteria; Pseudomonadati; Pseudomonadota; Gammaproteobacteria; Enterobacterales; Enterobacteriaceae.